RNAcentral lists this RNase P RNA (390 nucleotides) under Mycobacterium sp. 1274761.0. RNAcentral's name for it is "Bacterial RNase P class A". It matches the Rfam family "Bacterial RNase P class A". From Rfam's summary of the family: Ribonuclease P (RNase P) is a ubiquitous endoribonuclease, found in archaea, bacteria and eukarya as well as chloroplasts and mitochondria. Its best characterised activity is the generation of mature 5'-ends of tRNAs by cleaving the 5'-leader elements of precursor-tRNAs. Lineage: Bacteria; Bacillati; Actinomycetota; Actinomycetes; Mycobacteriales; Mycobacteriaceae. The record is from Rfam by way of RNAcentral.
CGAGUUGGCUGGGCGGCCGCGGACCCGAGGGUCCGAGGAAAGUCCGGACUUCACAGAGCAGGGUGAUUGCUAACGGCAAUCCGAGGUGACUCGCGGGAAAGUGCCACAGAAAACAGACCGCCACCAACGGUGGUAAGGGUGAAACGGUGCGGUAAGCGCGCACCAGCAUUCCGGGUGACCGGGAUGGCUAGGCAAACCCCACCCGAAGCAAGGCCAAGAGGUCGCACCUGGUGCGGCUGCGCAGGCGCUCGAGGGUUGCUCGCCCGAGCCUGCGGGUAGGCCGCUCGAGGCACCCGGUGACGGUGUGCCCAGAUGGAUGGUCGCCGCCUCAUCGCCGUGGUAGUUCGCGGCGGUGAGGAACAGAAUCCGGCUUAUAGGCCAACUCGUUCG